CGGAAUGCUUUACACAUGCAAGUCGAACGGCAGCACGGACUUCGGUCUGGUGGCGAGUGGCGAACGGGUGAGUAACAUAUCGGAACGUAUCCAAUAAUGGGGGAUAACUAAUCGAAAGGUUGGCUAAUACCGCAUACGCCCUGAGGGGGAAAGCUAGGGAUCUUCGGACCUGGCGUUAAUGGAGCGGCCGAUAUCUGAUUAGCUAGUUGGUGAGGUAAAGGCUCACCAAGGCGACGAUCAGUAGCUGGUCUGAGAGGACGACCAGCCACACUGGAACUGAGACACGGUCCAGACUCCUACGGGAGGCAGCAGUGGGGAAUUUUGGACAAUGGGCGCAAGCCUGAUCCAGCCAUUCCGCGUGAGUGAAGAAGGCCUUCGGGUUGUAAAGCUCUUUCGCAAGGGAAGAAAACUUAUCCUCUAACAUAGGAUGAGGUUGACGGUACCUUGAUAAGAAGCGCCGGCUAACUACGUGCCAGCAGCCGCGGUAAUACGUAGGGUGCGAGCGUUAAUCGGAAUUACUGGGCGUAAAGCGUGCGCAGGCUGUUUUGUAAGUCAGAUGU
This 560-nucleotide ribosomal RNA is filed under the name uncultured Methylophilaceae bacterium. RNAcentral's name for it is "bacterial SSU rRNA". It matches the Rfam family "Bacterial small subunit ribosomal RNA", at positions 40 to 595 of the family's 1533-position model. The record is from RNAcentral. Lineage: Bacteria; Pseudomonadati; Pseudomonadota; Betaproteobacteria; Nitrosomonadales; Methylophilaceae.